AUUCUAUCCUGUAUCUACCAUGUCUAGCUAGUUAUGAAAUAUGAUUUAAUGCAUUCUAUCUCCAUUCUAUCCUGUAUCUACCCUGUCUAGCUAGUUAUGAAAUAUGAUUUAAUACAUUCUAUCUCCAUGCUAUCCUGUAUCUACCAUGUCUAGCUAGAUUUGAAAUAUGAUUUAAUGCAUUCUCCAUUCUAUCCCGUAUCGACCCUGUCUAGCUAGUUAUGAAAUAUGAUUUAAUACAUUCUAUCUCUGUUCUAUCCUGUAUCUACCAUGUCUAGCUAGU
Non-coding RNA from Pelobates cultripes (western spadefoot toad), 280 nucleotides. The record is from the annotation of a GenBank genome assembly. Lineage: Eukaryota; Metazoa; Chordata; Amphibia; Anura; Pelobatidae.